CGGCAACAGCUCAAAUUUGAAAUCUGGCCUUCGGGUCCGAGUUGUAAUUUGCAGAGGAUGCUUUUGACGAAGCGGCGACCGAGUCCCCUGGAAUGGGGCGCCAUAGAGGGUGAGAGCCCCGUAUGGUCGCACUGCCGAGUCUCUGUAAAGCUCCUUCAAC
Molecule: ribosomal RNA, 160 nt
Filed under: Parasarocladium gamsii
Lineage: Eukaryota; Fungi; Ascomycota; Sordariomycetes; Hypocreales; Sarocladiaceae
Description: partial large subunit ribosomal RNA
Rfam family: Eukaryotic large subunit ribosomal RNA
Source: RNAcentral